GCCAGUGUGGUGGAAUUGGUAGACACGCCGGACUCAAAAUCCGGUUCUCGCGAGAGAGUGGCGGUUCAAGUCCGCCCACUGGUACCA
This 87-nucleotide transfer RNA is filed under the name Gammaproteobacteria bacterium. RNAcentral describes it as "tRNA-Leu". It matches the Rfam family "tRNA". Rfam says of the family: Transfer RNA (tRNA) molecules are approximately 80 nucleotides in length. The record is from RNAcentral. Lineage: Bacteria; Pseudomonadati; Pseudomonadota; Gammaproteobacteria.